ACACCAAACAUUUGAUAGAAGAUUAUUAAUAUGAGUGGUAGUAGGACAGAAAGACUGUCACAUAUUUUUGAGGGAUUUUAGAAAAUAUAAUUUUAAAGGGGGCAGCAGUUCAAUACUACUUUAAAAAUAAUACUCCCUGGCCGGGUGUGGUGGCUCAUGACUGUAAUCCCAGCACUUUGGGAGGCCGAGACGAGCGGAUCAUGAGGUCAGGAAAUCAAGACCAUCCUGGCUAACACGACAAAUUAUACCUAUUUUUCUCAAUAACACAUGGCUACAGUGAAAGACUUCCAUUUAUUGAUCACUUUUUGGCCUUUGGCUGAGAUCAAGAGCACUACCUGAAGAUGAAAGAUGAAAGGAGCUGAUUUGCAGAUUCUCUCCCUAUACAUUUUUGUUGUAUUGAAUUUCAGUUUCAUUUUAUUCUCUUAUCUUUCAUGGAAUGUUACAAUUACCUAAAUUAUAGACUAAUAUAGAAGCUUUUGAGCAAAAGGGUGUAUGUGCUGUGAAGGUCAACAUUUUAAACGAUCCUAAAACAUAAUUGUUUUAGAACGGGCACUUGUCUGGGUCCCACUGAAUGACUCAUUUCACGGCAUCACAUUCAAAAUGGAUUCUAUCAAAGGAAAACCAACUCAUUCUCAAGAUGAAAUUCAUCCUUUGCAUAUUAUGUAUCAAUGAUAUCACUCUUCCAGUGCCAGUUGUGGAAAAAUAGGUUUCAACAUAGAGUGGCUUGUACUGUGUAUUUAAUAAAGCUUUCAGAAUGUGUUUCUUUUAUAAUUUCAAAAAAAAAAAAAAAA
RNAcentral lists this long non-coding RNA (791 nucleotides) under Homo sapiens (human). RNAcentral describes it as "long independently transcribed non-coding RNA 1047 (LINC01047)". Lineage: Eukaryota; Metazoa; Chordata; Mammalia; Primates; Hominidae. The record is from RNAcentral.